AAUCGGCCACAUUGGGACUGAGACACGGCCCAAACUCCUACGGGAGGCAGCAGUAGGGAAUCUUCCACAAUGGACGAAAGUCUGAUGGAGCAACGCCGCGUGAGUGAAGAAGGGUUUCGGCUCGUAAAACUCUGUUGUUAAAGAAGAACAUAUCUGAGAGUAACUGUUCAGGUAUUGACGGUAUUUAACCAGAAAGCCACGGCUAACUACGUGCCAGCAGCCGCGGUAAUACGUAGGUGGCAAGCGUUGUCCGGAUUUAUUGGGCGUAAAGCGAGCGCAGGCGGUUUUUUAAGUCUGAUGUGAAAGCCUUCGGCUCAACCGAAGAAGUGCAUCGGAAACUGGGAAACUUGAGUGCAGAAGAGGACAGUGGAACUCCAUGUGUAGCGGUGAAAUGCGUAGAUAUAUGGAAGAACACCAGUGGCGAAGGCGGCUGUCUGGUCUGUAACUGACGCUGAGGCUCGAAAGUAUGGGUAGCAAACAGGAUUAGAUACCCUGGUAGUCCAUACCGUAAACGAUGAAUGCUAAGUGUUGGAGGGUUUCCGCCCUUCAGUGCUGCAGCUAACGCAUUAAGCAUUCCGCCUGGGGAGUACGGCCGCAAGGCUGAAACUCAAAGGAAUUGACGGGGGCCCGCACAAGCGGUGGAGCAUGUGGUUUAAUUCGAAGCUACGCGAAGAACCUUACCAGGUCUUGACAUACUAUGCAAAUCUAAGAGAUUAGACGUUCCCUUCGGGGACAUGGAUACAGGUGGUGCAUGGUUGUCGUCAGCUCGUGUCGUGAGAUGUUGGGUUAAGUCCCGCAACGAGCGCAACCCUUAUUAUCAGUUGCCAGCAUUAAGUUGGGCACUCUGGUGAGACUGCCGGUGACAAACCGGAGGAAGGUGGGGAUGACGUCAAAUCAUCAUGCCCCUUAUGACCUGGGCUACACACGUGCUACAAUGGAUGGUACAACGAGUUGCGAACUCGCGAGAGUAAGCUAAUCUCUUAAAGCCAUUCUCAGUUCGGAUUGUAGGCUGCAACUCGCCUACAUGAAGUCGGAAUCGCUAGUAAUCGCGGAUCAGCAUGCCGCGGUGAAUACGUUCCCGGGCCUUGUACACACCGCCCGUCACACCAUGAGAGUUUGUAACACCCAAAGUCGGUGGGGUAACCUUUUAGGAACCAGCCGCCUAAGGUGGGACAGAUGAUUAGGGUGAAGUCGUAACAAGGUAGCCGUAGGAGA
RNAcentral lists this ribosomal RNA (1215 nucleotides) under Lactiplantibacillus plantarum. RNAcentral describes it as "bacterial SSU rRNA". It matches the Rfam family "Bacterial small subunit ribosomal RNA", at positions 302 to 1509 of the family's 1533-position model. Lineage: Bacteria; Bacillati; Bacillota; Bacilli; Lactobacillales; Lactobacillaceae. The record is from RNAcentral.